This 2129-nucleotide ribosomal RNA is filed under the name Escherichia coli. RNAcentral describes it as "bacterial LSU rRNA". It matches the Rfam family "Bacterial large subunit ribosomal RNA", at positions 1 to 2157 of the family's 2925-position model. Lineage: Bacteria; Pseudomonadati; Pseudomonadota; Gammaproteobacteria; Enterobacterales; Enterobacteriaceae. The record is from RNAcentral.
UUAAGCGACUAAGCGUACACGGUGGAUGCCCUGGCAGUCAGAGGCGAUGAAGGACGUGCUAAUCUGCGAUAAGCGUCGGUAAGGUGAUAUGAACCGUUAUAACCGGCGAUUUCCGAAUGGGGAAACCCAGUGUGUUUCGACACACUAUCAUUAACUGAAUCCAUAGGUUAAUGAGGCGAACCGGGGGAACUGAAACAUCUAAGUACCCCGAGGAAAAGAAAUCAACCGAGAUUCCCCCAGUAGCGGCGAGCGAACGGGGAGCAGCCCAGAGCCUGAAUCAGUGUGUGUGUUAGUGGAAGCGUCUGGAAAGGCGCGCGAUACAGGGUGACAGCCCCGUACACAAAAAUGCACAUGCUGUGAGCUCGAUGAGUAGGGCGGGACACGUGGUAUCCUGUCUGAAUAUGGGGGGACCAUCCUCCAAGGCUAAAUACUCCUGACUGACCGAUAGUGAACCAGUACCGUGAGGGAAAGGCGAAAAGAACCCCGGCGAGGGGAGUGAAAAAGAACCUGAAACCGUGUACGUACAAGCAGUGGGAGCACGCUUAGGCGUGUGACUGCGUACCUUUUGUAUAAUGGGUCAGCGACUUAUAUUCUGUAGCAAGGUUAACCGAAUAGGGGAGCCGAAGGGAAACCGAGUCUUAACUGGGCGUUAAGUUGCAGGGUAUAGACCCGAAACCCGGUGAUCUAGCCAUGGGCAGGUUGAAGGUUGGGUAACACUAACUGGAGGACCGAACCGACUAAUGUUGAAAAAUUAGCGGAUGACUUGUGGCUGGGGGUGAAAGGCCAAUCAAACCGGGAGAUAGCUGGUUCUCCCCGAAAGCUAUUUAGGUAGCGCCUCGUGAAUUCAUCUCCGGGGGUAGAGCACUGUUUCGGCAAGGGGGUCAUCCCGACUUACCAACCCGAUGCAAACUGCGAAUACCGGAGAAUGUUAUCACGGGAGACACACGGCGGGUGCUAACGUCCGUCGUGAAGAGGGAAACAACCCAGACCGCCAGCUAAGGUCCCAAAGUCAUGGUUAAGUGGGAAACGAUGUGGGAAGGCCCAGACAGCCAGGAUGUUGGCUUAGAAGCAGCCAUCAUUUAAAGAAAGCGUAAUAGCUCACUGGUCGAGUCGGCCUGCGCGGAAGAUGUAACGGGGCUAAACCAUGCACCGAAGCUGCGGCAGCGACGCUUAUGCGUUGUUGGGUAGGGGAGCGUUCUGUAAGCCUGCGAAGGUGUGCUGUGAGGCAUGCUGGAGGUAUCAGAAGUGCGAAUGCUGACAUAAGUAACGAUAAAGCGGGUGAAAAGCCCGCUCGCCGGAAGACCAAGGGUUCCUGUCCAACGUUAAUCGGGGCAGGGUGAGUCGACCCCUAAGGCGAGGCCGAAAGGCGUAGUCGAUGGGAAACAGGUUAAUAUUCCUGUACUUGGUGUUACUGCGAAGGGGGGACGGAGAAGGCUAUGUUGGCCGGGCGACGGUUGUCCCGGUUUAAGCGUGUAGGCUGGUUUUCCAGGCAAAUCCGGAAAACUAAGGCUGAGGCGUGAUGACGAGGCACUACGGUGCUGAAGCAACAAAUGCCCUGCUUCCAGGAAAAGCCUCUAAGCAUCAGGUAACAUCAAAUCGUACCCCAAACCGACACAGGUGGUCAGGUAGAGAAUACCAAGGCGCUUGAGAGAACUCGGGUGAAGGAACUAGGCAAAAUGGUGCCGUAACUUCGGGAGAAGGCACGCUGAUAUGUAGGUGAAGUCCCUCGCGGAUGGAGCUGAAAUCAGUCGAAGAUACCAGCUGGCUGCAACUGUUUAUUAAAAACACAGCACUGUGCAAACACGAAAGUGGACGUAUACGGUGUGACGCCUGCCCGGUGCCGGAAGGUUAAUUGAUGGGGUUAGCGCAAGCGAAGCUCUUGAUCGAAGCCCCGGUAAACGGCGGCCGUAACUAUAACGGUCCUAAGGUAGCGAAAUUCCUUGUCGGGUAAGUUCCGACCUGCACGAAUGGCGUAAUGAUGGCCAGGCUGUCUCCACCCGAGACUCAGUGAAAUUGAACUCGCUGUGAAGAUGCAGUGUACCCGCGGCAAGACGGAAAGACCCCGUGAACCUUUACUAUAGCUUGACACUGAACAUUGAGCCUUGAUGUGUAGGAUAGGUGGGAGGCUU